GAAAGUUUUGUGGGUCAGGGAAAAUAAAGAAUAAUACAACACAAGUAAUUUUGUAACAAGGGUUACUCUCCUUGUUCUUAUAAGUUUUUCGAAGAAAAGGUAUUUUUCAAAUCCAUAUUUCAUUUAACUUUGUGUAGAAUUUCGAACAUUGAAAACGGUUUCAAAGCGACCUUCCUUUAAUGGAUGAUGUUACGAUGAUAAGAUAUACCUGGAAAUAUACAGUAAUCUAUUACGUCGUAAAGCCAUUCUAGCAAUCAGCGGCUAUUGACUUGCAAUAGGGACGCUAGUAUUUCACAAGUAGAGUAAGGACACUUUACCCUAUUAUAGAAAUAACACUUAGGCUUGAAUAUAAGAAAUUAAUAGUUUCUCGUCUAACCAUACAAAUACUAAACAAGCAAUGGCUCUGCUGACGGAUUCUUACAUUUUACCAUUUCCGUUCAUUCAAACUCGUUUGCAUAUUAAAAUAUACUAUUGAACCUAUGGAUAUGAAUUUUAUAAGAAACAGAAUAUUUAGGCGCAUAGCCGUUCUGUCACCUUACAUGACAUUACUUACCACUGUGGCGACAGUACACUGAUGAACUCAAAUUCUUCUUAUAACAAUUCCAGGUCUGUACUUUGUAAAUAUCAACUGUAAUACUUCUGUUUGGACUACUAACCACGCCUCUGCUAGUGUGAUUGUUAUGACGUCAUAUCACGUGACACAUCGUUGUUGAGGAAGUAGAAUACACCGCGCGUCCAGAUCGUAUUUCCCGCGCGCAUAACUAUAAACUUCAUUUACAGCUAGCUUGACAGGGUCAACAGAGACUGGGCGCUGGCGAACUGGUAGUCGUAUCAAGAUUGAUUGAAGUCACUUAAAAUCCAAUAUGUCUGUCUGCAGUCAAUGAGACGAUCAGCAUGUUCAGCUUGUUCUCAAAGAGUUGACUUCAGCAUCUCAGUCUACAAGCAGUCUGCAUGGUUUGUACAAAAUAUUGUGAUGACGGUUUGCGCUGGUCAAGGGGAGAUAACUCUUCUGGGACAGAUGAAAGCUAAUUUGUCUUCAGUUUGAUUUCAAGAGCUUCUUGACGUCCGUCCACACUCCUGUUUGGCCUGGUGAUCGAGUUGGACACUGCCGACAGACGAUGUUCCAUGGAUUAGCGGGAAAACAAGUGGAAUCCUGCUGCGUCGUCUGCUGGGAGCACGUGGGCCUGAUGGUGGGGUUGGGCAGAAGCUCCCGAGGGACGGCAAACGGGUUGGAGAGUCACCUCCCUUCUUCUCUGAUGAAGCGGUCUUCUUAGAAGAGAUGACUAUCUUGUUGUUGUCUGUGAUUGGCGGCAGAGCUGUGGUCUGCACAUCUCUAGUUUUAUCCGUGUCCGACCGUCUUCGCUUGUGACCUUCACCCGGAGAAGGUGGCACCCAAGGGGUCAUUGCUGCCUUAGUCUCCUCGUUUACACGCAUGUGUCCAUCAGCAUCUAAGUUUUGGGUCUUGAAUUUGUGGUUUUCUCUCUCAAGGCGAGUAAUUGCAUCCUGCAUCCGCUUCAUCUGUCUCUGGUAGGUUUGCAGUGUCUGGACUUGAGCCUUGAGGUCGUUGAUCUCAGCCUGGUCCAUGGUCCAGCUGAGUUUGUAGUUGUUGUAUUCGACCCGGCAGUGUUUCAGAUCCUUCUCAAUCUGAGCGUUCUUCUAUUUCUCCAGACGGAGUUCCUUCAUUGUGGCCUCCAGCUGCUGGCUGUAGUCCUCGUUGAGGCUCAUGAGAUGCUGCACAAAGCUGCAACACGGAGAAGGAACGUCCGGAUAUAGUAUGGAAAUAGAUGGAUUUUCUGUUGUUUUCCCUUAACAUAAAUAAUCAAAAUGUGUUCAAGUCUUUAAACAGAAAGUGUUUUGUUUGACGUGUGACAACCCACCUUUCUUCUACGUUGAUUGUUUGGCUCUUUGGACUUUCCCUACUAUUCAGUGAAUUGUUGACUCCAGACUGAACCCUACUUUUCUCUGUGUCAUCUAUGGCUUGACUACCCGUGUCAGCAUCUGAAGGGUUCACAGUGGUACAUUCGUAAAAAGUUUGUUAUAUGGCACUGUAAUUGAUUGUUAAACAAUUCUGUAAUUGUAUUAGAUAACCUAAGAUUGUUUCUGUUUAGUUUCAGUUGCAGUUCAUAGCAUUGUGAUUUGACAAUGGUUAGUUGUCAGGAAUGUAUUACUACCUUAUGUAAGCAGUUGUGUGGAAGUUAGUAUAUUUAGAUGCUUUUGGGGUCACGUGUAAUCUGGAAACUUCUAGAACAGCUGGAAUAAUCUGGCACUGUAUAGAACCUUCUAGAAGGUAUUUAACCCACAUAAGGGUCCAAAUGCGUGUAUCUGUCAUCUCACAUUACAUCAAGACCAGCGGUUGAGUAAAGAUCGUGUUUUCACCCUGGAUAUCCACCCUAGGCCUAUUUUGGAAGCUUGACCUCUGUUGCUUAUCAGCAAAUAUUAUUAUCGCUGCACUGAAAAAAUAGUUUAAGUUUACUCACACUCAGACACUGACGUGUUAGUAGACUUUACGAAUCAGUUAAUAUUCUUUUAAUGGGUGGCCUAUCGUUAUUAACUAAAAAAAGGUUAAGUUAAAAUCAGAAAUACUUUCAUUGACGGCUUCCUGUAUGAGAGAAAUACUAUCAGACAUACAACAACACAUUACCAUACCUCUUGAUUUGUAGUCCGUCACGCUACCACAUGUGCUGCGGAGACUGUUGACGCCACAAGUUUCCAUUUUUCACGUCACCAUUAGCUUGGUUUAUUUGUACAUUUUUAUGUUAAUAUUUAACCAAGUCUUACCAAGUUCUGGUGGUAUAUGUGUUAUGCAAGUGCCUGUGAAUCUGAUUUCCACAUCUAAUUUCAAUAUAUAUAUAUUAUACAUCCCAUCCAUAUUUGACUUAUAGUCUGAUGAUAUACACUUUAUUAAACAUGUUUAAAGAUGUUUAAAUUCAAAACAUGUUUAAAGGUGUUUGAACGCUAAACACGAUAGCUCUUUUCAUGUGUUUAGACCCUAAAGGUGUUUAGAUAGGACACACUAAAUGUGCACACCGUUUAGGAUUGAAACACAUUCCUAAAUAUGUCUUGUGUGUGUUUAGAUUCUUAACACAUUUUUACAGUGUGGUUAAGUAAUGAAUUAUACUAAUUUAAUAAGUGAUAUUCACUAAUCAUCUUGUGCAGUUCACCAGGCAGGAUAGUAAAUUCGGUGUUAACUAAACUUCUGACCGCUGUUACUUAUUAAGUUAGGAGAAGACACUUGGCUUUUUUCUCAGUGUGUCUGCUAUUACCACUGCUGUAUUUCAUGCUGUCAUUGUAAUUGCACUGCCACUUUAUUGUGUACUGCCAUUGCAAUAACUUUGCAGCAUUUUGUAUUGAUUUGUAAACCUAGUUAAUUCUAUAAUACAAUUUUUAAUUUUGUAAGA
RNAcentral lists this long non-coding RNA (3398 nucleotides) under Haliotis rufescens (red abalone). RNAcentral describes it as "uncharacterized LOC124148527". The record is from RNAcentral. Lineage: Eukaryota; Metazoa; Mollusca; Gastropoda; Lepetellida; Haliotidae.